This 301-nucleotide ribosomal RNA is filed under the name uncultured bacterium. Its description in RNAcentral is "partial 16S ribosomal RNA". It matches the Rfam family "Bacterial small subunit ribosomal RNA", at positions 509 to 807 of the family's 1533-position model. The record is from RNAcentral.
CAGCCGCCACGGUAAUACGAAGGGGGCUCGCGUUGUUCGGAUUUACUGGGCGUAAAGGGCGCGUAGGCGGGCGAUUAAGUCAGGGGUGAAAUCCCAAGGCUCAACCUUGGAACUGCCUUUGAUACUGAUUGUCUUGAGUUCGAGAGAGGUAAGUGGAACUGCGAGUGUAGAGGUGAAAUUCGUAGAUAUUCGCAAGAACACCAGUGGCGAAGGCGGCUUACUGGCUCGAUACUGACGCUGAGGCGCGAAAGCGUGGGGAGCAAACAGGAUUAGAUACCCCAGUAGUCCCUGUCUCUUAUAC